Parus major (Great Tit) is the source of this 3990-nucleotide RNA transcript. It is a transcript of the gene named PHD finger protein 14, with no coding region annotated. Lineage: Eukaryota; Metazoa; Chordata; Aves; Passeriformes; Paridae. The transcript is spliced from 20 exons. The record is from RefSeq and is a predicted model, not a curated record.
GGGCGGGCGGCGGGGCGGGCGCGGGUCUGCAUCCGGGUCGCCGCCGUGCCCAUUGUCUGGGGAAGGGGCCCGGGGCUCGGCGGCGCUGCACCCGAGGGCCCCUGCCCGCCCGCCGCCCACCCGCGCAGGCUUUAUGGACCGCAGUUCGAAGAGGAGACAGGUGAAGCCUUUGGCAGCUUCGCUGCUGGAAGCUUUAGAUUAUGAUAGCUCUGAUGACAGUGAUUUUAAAGUUGGAGAUGCUUCAGAUUCUGAAGGAAGUGGUCAUGGGAGUGAAGAUGCAUCUAAGGACAGUGGUGAAGGUUCCUGUACUGAGUCAGAAGAAAAUAUCUUGGAGGAGGAACCGGCAGAAGAGAAAGUAGAAGAGCAACAGGCGAAAACCUCCACUGAAGAAGAAGUGCCAACAGCAGACAAAGAGGUAAUUAAAACUGAAAAGAAAGAGCAAGAAGAUGAAGAAGAAAAGCCAAAAAAGAAGAAAGAGAAGGAGAAAGCAGCUGAACCUGAUGCUGUUGCUGAUGAGCAAACAAAUGAACCAAAAAAAUGGAAUUUGCGCAGGAACCGACCUCUGCUGGAUUUUGUAUCGAUGGAAGAACUAAAUGAUAUGGAUGACUAUGACAGUGAAGAUGACAAUGACUGGCGGCCUACUGCUGAGAAGAAAAAAGGAAAGAACGCACUGAGAAAAGAGGGGAGUGAUGGAGAUAAUGAAGAUGAUGAAGAUGAUGGGAGUGGAAGUGAUGAGGAUGACAAUGAUGAGGAAGGUAAUGAAGAAGAUAAUAGCAGCACGGCUAGCGAUGGAGGAUCCAAGAAGAAGAAGAGUAAAGUUCUUAACAGGAAUAAUGCAGAUGAUGAGGAAUUGACAAAUGAUAGCCUGGCUCUUUCACAAAGCAAGAGUAAUGAGGACUCAUUGAUCCUUGAGAAGUCUCAAAAUUGGAGUUCCCAGAAAAUGGACCAUAUUUUGAUUUGUUGCGUUUGUCUUGGAGAUAACAGUGAAGAUGCUGAUGAAAUAAUCCAGUGUGACAACUGUGGAAUAACAGUGCAUGAAGGCUGCUAUGGUGUUGAUGGGGAGAGUGACUCUAUCAUGAGUUCAGCUUCAGAAAAUUCCACAGAGCCUUGGUUUUGUGAUGCCUGCAAAUGUGGUGUCACACCUAGCUGUGAAUUGUGUCCCAACCAGGAUGGGAUCUUCAAGGAGACUGAUGCAGGCAGGUGGGUCCACAUAGUUUGUGCCCUCUAUGUUCCAGGAGUGGCAUUUGGAGAUAUUGACAAGCUGCGGCCAGUAACACUAACAGAAAUGAAUUACUCCAAGUAUGGUGCAAAGGAGUGCAGCUUUUGUGAAGAUCCUCGUUUUGCCAGAACUGGUGUAUGCAUUAGUUGUGAUGCUGGGAUGUGCAGAGCUUAUUUCCAUGUGACCUGUGCUCAGAAGGAAGGCCUCCUCUCAGAAGCAGCAGCGGAAGAGGAUAUAGCUGACCCUUUUUUUGCUUAUUGUAAACAGCAUGCAGACAGGUUAGACAGAAAAUGGAAGCGGAAGAACUACUUGGCUUUACAAUCUUACUGUAAAAUGUCCUUGCAGGAAAGAGAAAAACAGCUUUCACCAGAAGCUCAGGCUCGAAUCAAUGCCAGGCUCCAGCAGUAUCGUGCCAAGGCGGAGCUGGCACGCACCACCAGGCCCCAGGCCUGGGUUCCCAGGGAGAAGCUGCCCCGGCCGCUCACGAGCAGCGCUUCAGCCAUACGGAAGCUCAUGCGCAAAGCCGAGUUGAUGGGAAUUAGCACAGACAUUUUUCCAGUGGACACUUCAGAUACGAGUUCCAGUGUUGAUGGAAGAAGAAAACAUAAACAACCAGCUCUCACUGCUGACUUUGUGAAUUAUUACCUUGAGAGAAAUAUGCGCAUGAUUCAAAUCCAGGAGAACAUGGCUGAACAGAAGAAUAUCAAGGAUAAGUUAGAAAAUGAGCAAGAAAAGCUUCAUGUGGAGUAUAAUAAGCUGUGUGAGUCCUUAGAAGAGCUACAAAAUAUGAAUGGAAAACUGCGAAAUGAAGGGCAAGGCAUUUGGGCUCUGCUGGGUAGAAUCAUUGGACAGAAACUGAACAUCCCAGCAAUUUUACGGGCUCCUAAGGAGAGGAAACCAAGUAAAAAGGAAGGAGGAACACAAAAGGCAUCUACACUUCCGGCAGUACUUUAUAGUUGUGGAAUUUGCAAGAAGAACCAUGAUCAACACCUACUGCUACUGUGUGACACUUGUAAACUCCAUUAUCAUCUUGGUUGCCUGGAUCCACCUCUUACAAGGAUGCCAAGAAAGACCAAGAACAGUUAUUGGCAAUGCUCGGAGUGUGACCAGGCAGGUAGCAGUGAUAUGGAGGCUGAUAUUGCCAUGGAAACCUUACCAGAUGGGACCAAAAGAUCAAGGAGGCAAAUUAAGGAACCAGUGAAAUUUGUUCCUCAGGAUGUGCCAACAGAACCGAAGAAAAUUCCAAUCAGAAACACGAGAACUAGAGGACGAAAACGAAGCUUUGUGCCUGAAGAAGAAAAACCUGAGGAACGUAUUCCCAGGGAACGAAGGCAACGACAGUCUGUGCUGCAAAAGAAGCCCAAGUCAGAGGAUUUAAGGACUGAGUGUGCUACCUGCAAAGGCACUGGAGACAAUGAAAAUCUAGUCAGAUGUGAUGAAUGCAGGCUUUGCUACCAUUUUGGCUGUCUAGACCCUCCCUUGAAAAAGUCUCCUAAACAGACUGGCUAUGGAUGGAUUUGUCAGGAAUGUGACUCAACAUCCUCCAAAGACUCCGAGCCGUCAAAUGAGGUGGUCUCAGAGGCCCCAGGUAACGUGGUACCCUCUACCUCAAGAAGUAGCUCUGAAGAGCUGGUAUCGGUGGCACAGAAACGUCCAGAAGAGUUUCAUGGAUUGUGACUAAAUAUAGGAGUUCAGUAUUACAGCAAAUGUAAAGUCAUUUCUACAACAUUUACUUAUAUCACAUUUUGGAAAAUAAAUGACAAAAUGAAGGAGAGCCAGCUGAACCUGUAAAACAAUGGUUGGGUUUCAAGCACCACCUGCCCUGAAGAGGAUCCCAACUGUAGUGGCAGUCAGCCAAAGGGACCACUCAGUGGAAUGGUUGCCUCCUGAAAAGGAGAGGAACAGAUGGAAGAUUUGAAAUCUGGCAUGAAAUUCCACUUCUGUACUAAGCAUUAAAUGAAAUUUGACUGUAAGGGCUCUUGCGAUGGUACAUUUAUCUGUAUAAUCAGAAUUAGCAACAAGGAAAUAGAAAAUACAGAACACUGACAAGCAUUUCAAAAAAACUUUAAAGUUCUUGUAGCAGUGUGAGUUAAAGGAAAGAGUUUGUGAUAAACAUGCAGCUGCUUGUAGCUUCUUAAAGAGGAGCUUUAGUGUCAAAGUCGUUCUGCUGGUCUUGCAUUGCCACCUAGAGCUCAGCAGUUUGUACUGCUCGGUAAGAAAACACUGCAGCAUUGCUCUUUUCACUGAACAAAGUGGGGUGGAGAGCUGCUUCCAGUUAAUUGAUGUCGUGUUUGCUUGCAUUGUAAUGGUUAGUCCCUUCUUAGCCUGCAUUUUAUAGUGUACCAGAUCAGCAGAGAUUGUGCUGUAGGACUUUGGUUGGCUUUGACAGUAAGAAUUAAUGGCAAUGCACAUUAAAAGGUACAACUGUCAGAUAUCCAGUGGUCCCAAAGGGGGCAUUUUCUUGAUGGCUGCUUUAGAAUUCUUCAUGAAGCAAAUGUCAAACUUGUCAAGGCUGUCACUAUGAAAAUGAUCCAUGUAGCAAGGGUCUCCUUUUCUUGGGAAACAAACAGCUGUCUUAUCACUGCAGAGCUGUGGUGACAAAAAACUGUCACUUAUCGCAAGAAAUUUGUAUUUGCUUCUAAUAUCCAUUGGUAAAAAAAAACAUUCCAUUUGUUCUUUACUUUUGCACCACUGUUCAUUACAAGGGUUGUCAGUAAUACCACUGAAGAAGAUAACAUAGGCUUUGGAAUAAAAAUAACUUUUGAAUUUUA